RNAcentral lists this ribosomal RNA (463 nucleotides) under uncultured bacterium. RNAcentral describes it as "partial 16S ribosomal RNA". It matches the Rfam family "Bacterial small subunit ribosomal RNA", at positions 28 to 507 of the family's 1533-position model. The record is from RNAcentral.
GACGAACGCUGGCGGCGUGCUUAACACAUGCAAGUCGAACGGAAAGGCCUUUUCGGAGGUACUCGAGUGGCGAACGGGUGAGUAACACGUGGGUGAUCUGCCCUGCACUCUGGGAUAAGCCUGGGAAACUGGGUCUAAUACCGGAUAGGACCGCACUUUAGUGUGUGUGGUGGAAAGUUUUUUCAGUGUAGGAUGAGCCCGCGGCCUAUCAGCUUGUUGGUGGGGUAAUGGCCUACCAAGGCGGCGACGGGUAGCCGGACUGAGAGGUUGGUCGGCCACAUUGGGACUGAGAUACGGCCCAGACUCCUACGGGAGGCAGCAGUGGGGAAUAUUGCACAAUGGGCGCAAGCCGGAUGCAGCGACGCCGCGUGGGGGAUGACGGCCUUCGGGUUGUAAACUCCUUUCGCCAGGGACGAAGCGUUUUGUGACGGUACCUGGAGAAGAAGCACCGGCUAACUACGUG